CAGAGAAUAGUUUAAUUAGAAUAUCAACUUUGGGAGUUGGAGGUAGAGGUUUGAGUCCUUUUUCUCUGA
This 69-nucleotide transfer RNA is filed under the name Indicator maculatus (spotted honeyguide). RNAcentral's name for it is "tRNA-Pro". It matches the Rfam family "tRNA". From Rfam's summary of the family: Transfer RNA (tRNA) molecules are approximately 80 nucleotides in length. Their secondary structure includes four short double-helical elements and three loops (D, anti-codon, and T loops). Further hydrogen bonds mediate the characteristic L-shaped molecular structure. tRNAs have two regions of fundamental functional importance: the anti-codon, which is responsible for specific mRNA codon recognition, and the 3' end, to which the tRNAs corresponding amino acid is attached (by aminoacyl-tRNA synthetases). tRNAs cope with the degeneracy of the genetic code in two manners: having more than one tRNA (with a specific anti-codon) for a particular amino acid; and 'wobble' base-pairing, i.e. permitting non-standard base-pairing at the 3rd anti-codon position. Lineage: Eukaryota; Metazoa; Chordata; Aves; Piciformes; Indicatoridae. The record is from RNAcentral.